UUUCUUCAAGGUUUUUAUGUUCGUUCUAGUUGUAGAGAGUAACCAUUUUUAGUUUGGUCCUUGUUUUCUCUUUGUAGGAAAAAAUAUUUUUUCAAUGUUGGAUGAUUCCGACUUCAUUUCUGGUGGUUCAACUAAGCUUUUAGGGUCUGAUAUUGUAGCAAUAUAAUUUAAUUUAAUUUUUUUAUUGUCAGUAAAUUGGACGGAGAUGAUAUCUUUCUCAAGCUUAUUCUUAAUUCAAGUGUUCUCGAUUGAAUUUUGGUUUGUGAUUUUUGUUUCUUGUACUUUGUCUUGAAGAUUAAUCUUUGUGAUUUCUCGGUAGUAGUUUGGUCAUAUUUUUAGUUUGUUUUUCCAUGUUUGGGAUCUUGUUUCUCCAAUUUUUGGAGCUUUGUUUUCGGUGGUUUGAAAUUUGUUGGAUUGAAAUU
RNAcentral lists this long non-coding RNA (422 nucleotides) under Brassica napus (rape). RNAcentral's name for it is "long non-coding RNA (BNAP_LNC016085)". Lineage: Eukaryota; Viridiplantae; Streptophyta; Magnoliopsida; Brassicales; Brassicaceae. The record is from RNAcentral.